This 22-nucleotide microRNA is filed under the name Neolamprologus brichardi. RNAcentral describes it as "nbr-miR-10570". The record is from miRBase by way of RNAcentral. Lineage: Eukaryota; Metazoa; Chordata; Actinopteri; Cichliformes; Cichlidae.
UCAUUGAGCUAAUAUACUGUUU